AUGGAGCAGGAGAGACGCAGAAAUGGAGUUGACUUGAGCCACUCGGAGGGGGAAGAACAAGCUACAAGUGAUGAAGAUGGCCUAAACCAUUCUGCACUUCUGCUUCAGCCAUCGAGAUCAACAAGAAAUAAAUCUAAAUCUUCAAGUGGCCCCAUGGACAAAUACUGUGAAUUAACUCCCGAAGAGCUUGUUGUCGCAAGGAAUAGGAAACGUGGUGCUGACACGAUCCAUGGGAAGCUGACAACUGAGAAGAGAGAACAAAAAAGGGCUCGUGCUUGUGAGUACAUCUGCCAGUGGUUCUAUGAAGCUUGCAUUCCAUUCAACGCAGUCACACUUCCCAGCUUUGACCUCAUGCUUCAGUCAAUUGGACAGUAUGGUGAGGACUUGGACGGUCCUACUCCUUAUGAAAUGGGUGGCCCAAUAUUGAAUAAGAGGAAGAAAAGAGUUCAGGAGUCCUUCAAUGCACACAGGAAGACUUGGGAGCUUACUGGAUGUACAAUCAUGACAGAUGCAUGGACUGGCAUAAGAGGAAGAGGGGUAAUGAAUCUUGUAGUUCAUAGUGCUCAUGGUGUGGUGUUUCUUAAUUCUGUGGACUGUUCAGCCGUGAAGAAAGAUGGGAAGUACAUCUUUGAGCUUGUUGAUAGAUGCAUAGAAGAGGUUGGUGAGAAGCAUGUAGUUCAAGUUGUGACUGAUAAUGCAAGUGCUAAUCAAGCGGCAUCAACCUUGUUGAAAGCAAAAGCGCCCCAACAUAUUUUGGAAUGGUUGUGCUGCCCAUUCUAUUGA
This 783-nucleotide ribosomal RNA is filed under the name Triticum aestivum (bread wheat). RNAcentral's name for it is "partial small subunit ribosomal RNA". The record is from RNAcentral. Lineage: Eukaryota; Viridiplantae; Streptophyta; Magnoliopsida; Poales; Poaceae.